CUGACUGUGGGGGAGGGGCUGCACACCUGAGUACAGGUGAGGGGACAGGUGUGCACCUGAGUGCAGGUGAGGGGACAGGUGCAUGCCUGAGCGCAGGUGAGUGGAGGGGGGUGCAUACCUGAGUGCAGUGAGUGACGCGGCUCAGCCGUCGGAGCGGACAGUAGCCAGAGGCUGGCGCUGCCUCGGACAGGCCCUGGCCAGUCGCUGAGCGGCCCUGGCCCCGCGCGGCCGCGGGGGGGCGCUGCAGGCGUCUCCGGGCUCCCAGGUCCCGCGUCCCGCGGUCCCCAAGUCCCGACCACCCGGCGCCCCACUCAGCCGGAUCCUGUCUGGGAAGAGAAGGCGCAGCACCAGGCCCGGCCGCCCUCCUGCGUGGAGCUGGCUGCAGCGUCGGCCGCUCCGUGACCACCGGACGGGUGUCUCCCCGAAGUGACCCCCCUGGGCAGUGGACACACGCCCAGGCUGCGCGCCCGUGUGCAAAGCAACGCCCCCCCUGCAGCCAAGCGGAAGCCACCCUUGCACCCCAACAGCCGAGUGGCCAGAAGACGUGGUCCCCACGGGGAAUACUAUGCAGCCCUCAAAAAGGUGAGCACAGCCACAUGGGUGGAGCCGGACGGCGUAAAGCCCCGCAAGCUGAGUCAGAGGUAAAGGGAAAGUGGGGUGCUCUCCCCUAGGAGGGGCAGCGAGCAGGGGCAGGAAACAGGUGGGAGUCUACGGGAAAACUGGAAGUGGACACUGGGUGGGAUCCAGAGGCGAGGGAGGUGGACGCGGCUGUGGGACGGUUCAGGGGGAGUUCGGGGGUUCACAGGUUACACCUGAGGGCGGAAAGCAGACAGACCGUUGAACAGCGAUGUCAGAAUAAAAUUUGAAGAAGACGUGAGUU
Molecule: long non-coding RNA, 880 nt
Organism: Condylura cristata (star-nosed mole)
Lineage: Eukaryota; Metazoa; Chordata; Mammalia; Eulipotyphla; Talpidae
Exons: 3
Source: RefSeq, a predicted model, not a curated record